RNAcentral lists this ribosomal RNA (486 nucleotides) under uncultured bacterium. Its description in RNAcentral is "partial 16S ribosomal RNA". It matches the Rfam family "Bacterial small subunit ribosomal RNA", at positions 30 to 507 of the family's 1533-position model. The record is from RNAcentral.
AUUGAACGCUGGCGGCAUGCCUUACACAUGCAAGUCGAACGGCAGCACGGGUGCUUGCACCUGGUGGCGAGUGGCGAACGGGUGAGUAAUACAUCGGAACAUGUCCUGUAGUGGGGGAUAGCCCGGCGAAAGCCGGAUUAAUACCGCAUACGAUCUACGGAUGAAAGCGGGGGACCUUCUGGCCUCGCGCUAUAGGGUUGGCCGAUGGCUGAUUAGCUAGUUGGUGGGGUAAAGGCCUACCAAGGCGACGAUCAGCAGCUGGUCUGAGAGGACGACCAGCAACACUGGGACUGAGACACGGCCCAGACUCCUACGGGAGGCAGCAGUGGGGAAUUUUGGACAAUGGGCGAAAGCCUGAUCCAGCAAUGCCGCGUGUGUGAAGAAGGCCUUCGGGUUGUAAAGCACUUUUGUCCGGAAAGAAAUCCUUGGCCCUAAUACGGUCGGGGGAUGACGGUACCGGAAGAAUAAGCACCGGCUAACUACGUG